RNAcentral lists this microRNA (22 nucleotides) under Solanum tuberosum (potato). RNAcentral's name for it is "stu-miR7122-5p". Lineage: Eukaryota; Viridiplantae; Streptophyta; Magnoliopsida; Solanales; Solanaceae. The record is from miRBase by way of RNAcentral.
UUAUACAGAGAAACCGCUGUCG